RNAcentral lists this small RNA (392 nucleotides) under uncultured Glomus. Its description in RNAcentral is "SSU rRNA". It matches the Rfam family "Eukaryotic small subunit ribosomal RNA", at positions 569 to 966 of the family's 1831-position model. The record is from RNAcentral. Lineage: Eukaryota; Fungi; Glomeromycota; Glomeromycetes; Glomerales; Glomeraceae.
AGCAGCCGCGGUAAUUCCAGCUCCAAUAGCGUAUAUUAAAGUUGUUGCAGUUAAAAAGCUCGUAGUUGAAUUUCGGGAUUAAUUUACCGGUCGUGCUAUUGUACGUACUGGUUUUAUUGAUUCCUCCCUUCUGACGAACUAUGAUGUCAUUAAUUUGGUGUCUUAGGGAAUCAGGACUGUUACUUUAGAAAAAUUAGAGUGUUUAAAGCAGGCUCACGCUUGAAUACAUUAGCAUGGAAUAACGGAAUAGGACGUUUGAUUCUAUUUUGUUGGUUUCUAGGAUCGACGUAAUGUUUAAUAGGGAUAGUUGGGGGCAUUAGUAUUCAAUUGUCAGAGGUGAAGUUCUUGGAUUUAUUGAAGACUAACUACUGCGAAAGCAUUUGCCAAGGAUG